GAUGAACGCUGGCGGCGUGCCUAAUACAUGCAAGUCGAGCGAACAGACGAGGAUCUUGCUCCUCUGACGUUAGCGGCGGACGGGUGAGUAACACGUGGAUAACCUCCCUAUAAGACUGGUAUAACUUCGGGAAACCGGCGCUAAUACCGGAUAAUCUAUUGAACCGCAUGGUUCAAUAGUGAAAGACGGUUUUGCUGUCACUUAUAGAUGGAUCCGCGCCGCAUUAGCUAGUUGGUAAGGUAACGGCUUACCAAGGCAACGAUGCGUAGCCGACCUGAGAGGGUGAUCGGCCACACUGGAACUGAGACACGGUCCAGACUACUACGGGAGGCAGCAGUAGGGAAUCUGACGCAAUGGGCGAAAGCAUGACGGAGCAACGCCACGUGAGUGAUGAAGGUCUUCGGAUCGUAAAACUCGGUUAUUAGGGAAGAACAAAUGUGUAAGUAACUAUGCACGGAUUGACGGUACCUAAUCAGAAAGCCACGGCUAACUACGUG
RNAcentral lists this ribosomal RNA (497 nucleotides) under uncultured bacterium. RNAcentral describes it as "partial 16S ribosomal RNA". It matches the Rfam family "Bacterial small subunit ribosomal RNA", at positions 28 to 507 of the family's 1533-position model. The record is from RNAcentral.